GGAACACAAGUUUGAGAGAGCCAUCAGAACUUGAUGAAAGUCUGACCCUGAGUGAAGGAAAUAAGGCAGAAUGGGAAGAAACUAGACCACUGUGUAGUCUAAGGAUGUUCAGCAAGACCAUCACUGAGUUCUCAAGUCAUAAUCAACCAUUUUAUGAGUACCAUGUCUCCCAGAAAUGUACUUGCCUUAGUACAUUGCCUGUCACCAUCAGUCACUAGGGAAAACAGCCUAUGGGAAAUGUGGUCUUGUACAAAUGGUACAGUGGAUUUCAGAGGACAGAAUCUGAGGCCAUUGUGCUACUGUAGCUGGAGACCUUUGAGGCAUAUUCUCAUGCCUGACACACUCUAUAAGAGCAAGGGCUGUGUUCUCCCCCUCCAUUACCAGAGAUUUCCACAAUGUCUGAUGCACAGAUGAUGCUCAAGACAUACUUGGACAAUGCCUAUUUCUUCACAGGACUAUUUCUUUUUUGGGUGUUGAGUUUGAUAAGUUCUUUAUAGAUUUUGGAUACUAACCCUUUAUCUGAUAUGUCAUUUGCAAAUAUCUUCUCCCAUUCUGUCAGUUGCCUUUUAGUUUUGCUGAUUGUUUCCUUCGCUGUGCAGAAGCUUUUAAUUUUGAUGAGGUCCCCAUAGUUCAUUUUUGCUUUUGUUUCCCUUGCCUCCAGAGACAUGUUGUGUAAGAAGCAGCUGUGGCCAAGAUCAAAGAGGUUUUUGCUUGCCUUCUCCUUGAGGAUUUUGAUGGCUUCCUGUCUUACAUUUAGAUGGAGAAACCAAGAGUCAGAAAGAUUAAGAUAACUUCUCCAAGAUCACAAGUAGCAGACUCAGGGCCAGGAUGACACCUCAGUGGACUCACAUCUGAAUCAUCCCAGGAAGUCUAGAGGGAGGAAAUGAGAGGAUGUUCUAUUCACAGAAUGGUGGAUGCCACCACCCAGCGAGAAGCCAAAGGCCCCUUCUCAAAACUCUGACAAGUAGGGGAAGCAAGCCAGCCUGGCUCCCAGCUAUACCCAACAUGUCUCUUUGAAACUCACUUCAGGACCUAGGAAAGAGCUCGAGGACCGGGCCACAGGCUGUCUGUCCUACCUGAGCCUUCCAGUCACUUCCACAUAUUUUUGAAGGUAUUAUUUUCAACUGUCUGAACAAAUAACAGAAUCAAAGGGUAAUGUGAACUAAGUGAUCUACCUGUGAUCGUGGAGUGGACCAUGGAAGAGAGAAAGAACUUCCAUCCACCUCUCCCAAAAGUCUCUGAUUUGAAUCCCUACCUAGGAGUUGGCAGUGUUUUUAAAAUUAGUUAGUCCUGUCCCAUAUCGUUAUCCAAAGGACUCAAAGUGGCUUGGAAUAUGAAUAGAUAAAGUAAAUAAUGGUAAAAUGUAAACAAGUAAAGAUAACCAAGGCUGGGUAAAAUGAAAAUAUAAAAAGUAAAUUCAAGGGGAAAAUAUUAAUCAUAGAGGAAACGUUGCCUUAGAGCCCAAAAUACUGCAGUGCAUUUAAAAUAGAUAUUCCAUGUGUGGGGUUCAGUUGAUGAUGUAUUUUUAAGGUUUUAGUAACUUCUGUGGGGUUUCACUUCAUGCCAGAUAUUGACCAAGAAUGAUUAAAGCAGUGAAACUAUAGAGUUUAUCUCCAGGAUGUGGUCAAUACGCAGUAUUCAUACAUCCGUGGUUAAAUAGGAGAUGUGUUUUCCAAGUCUAAUGUUGCCAAAAAGACCACGUCAAUGCUUUGUGCAGAACAGGAUUUUUAUUUCAAAAAUAAGUCUGAAUCAUGACUAUUCAUUCAUUUAGCAAAUAUUAUGACAAUAAAUUAUCUGCCAGGAACGGUGCAGUACACUGGAAAUUCAAAGGCAAAUAUGACAUGGAAACUUUCCUAUAGGACUUCUCUGUCUAGAGAAACAGACUUAAAAUAUAUAAUCAGCACAACCAAAAUAAGUGUGAUUAUACAGAUGUGUACAGUGGGUAUAAAAGCAGAGAUGGGGUCAACCACUUCACUGAGGUUGGCUGGUGUAUCUUAUCUUCUAACCAAUACUCAUCCAGUUACAAGGACAUCAGGGUUCUGGUGCCAUCCUUAAUCAAGUGAACCUGGGGGGAUCAUAGAAUAAAUGAUUUACCUUUGUGUCCUGCUAAUUAUCUCCACAUUUCUGAUUUGAUUGUGUGGAAAAAUAAGGCAGGGAAAAUGCAGUGUCCAGCUUAAAAACAGUGGCCAAGAGGAACAGAAUGGAGAAAUGUGAAGAAAUGCUAUAGCAAAUCUUUUAUAACAAACAGGUUAGUGAGAAUAAUUUUUUGGCAUGGCAUAGGCAUUUUGUCCUUGGCAAUCCUCCAUAUAGUAAAAGCAUCUUCAGGAUAAAAAAAAAAAAGACAACUUUUUAGCAGAUUAUGCAUCCAUUAAAAACACCUACAAUCAUAUUUAAAACAAAAAAUCUAGCAUCUUGAGAGAGAGGAAAAUUGGCGGUGUUUUUCUAACAGUAGCCAAAAGUGAUCUAAGAAUUUUAACCCUUCCGAACUCUAGUGCUGACUCAAAAAUUUGGAGCUACCACUUCUGGCUGACCUGGCUGGAGAACAGUUUCAUGGCCAUAAAAAAUUUAGCAUGAGUGCUGAAGAAUUUACCAUGCUGUAUGGAGGAAAGCAACCCACAUAUAGAAUUUAUUGUGAUUGAUUCCAGUAUGUGUGUCUGGAGAACCCCCAAAGCAGGGCUCCAUAGCAAAUCGACAUAUGCCUGAUGUUAUCUCAAGGCAAGUUUCUACUGUAUAAACAAAAGCAGAUAAAGAAACUUUUAAAGAAAAUAACUUCCUCUUUUCUUCUUUAUAUUUAUUCACAGAUUGGAAGUUGAGAAAAAAACUUAAAAAGAAAAUGCUAAGAAAUGCCAAAGCUGGAUAUGUCAAGGGAUUAGAUAAAGUAGAGAACCUUCAUGAGAAAUGUGCACACUUGUGAUACAAAGCUAAGUCACCAGGAACUACAAGCACUGAACCCAAAGUCUAAAUGUAUGUGAAAGAUGGCAUUGGAUUAAGAACACACAGGCCAUGAGUGAACGAAACUCCGAGUUGACUCCCAGCUCCUCCGGUGAUUCCAUGACUCUGGGAACUACAGUGGUAACUCACAUAUGGAUUCAAAAUCUGGACUGGAACAUCUCCAUAUAUGUAAAACUAACUUUACAUAUACGCUUCAAUUAUAAACACAAGAGCUGAAAAUCGAAAGUGACUAACGCUGAAUGACCUAAACCUGAGUACUUAAAUAGUAAUUGAAGAGACUGUUUAUUAAUUUGUUUGGUUUCAAAUCUGAACUUUUUAAAAUUGGAAGUGUUGAAAGUAUUUGCCUAUACACUAUUUGGAAUAUUCUCAUUAAAGUGUGAAAUUCCAAUGCUAUGCUGGUUUCAUUAAUGGCACCGGAUGAUGCAGGGCAAGUUACUACUGAGGAUGGUAUAAAAGUCAUAGAAGAGUGUCCAGAAUACUUACUAGAGAGCCCCUCUUGGACAUUUCAUGAACAUGUCCCUGAGGGUUUGUGAAUACAUUUGACCAAAUUCGCAGUUUUUAUCCCACUAUAAAGAUGCUCCAAUCUACUCUGUCUUCAGACCGGUAAAAAAAACCAAACAAACAAAAAAACAAACAAACAAAAAAACAAAAGGAGGAACAUCAACAUGUUUUUCUAUUCUACGGGCAUGAAGGUGAUGUGUUUGUCCUGGCUGAACACACAUGGUAUGUAGAUAUCCAGACUUGAGAGUCACAAACAGCUGUUAAUCUGAAAGCACCAUAGUACACACUGUACAUCUUAAAAAUGUAUUUUGGGAAAGGCUGAUCUCACAUAUACAUGCUUAUCUGUCAACAAGCAUGAUUUUCACAGCUGAGAUGUAUACCUUUUGAUUGCACUCGUUUUAUCCACUUGAAGAUCCAUUCAAUGUAUAUGCAGAGUUACAAAUUUUUCUCCAUUAAUAAGAUUCUAAAGUUCAGUUCAGUUGGUAUCUAGGUUGGUAAGAAAAACCUCUGUUUGUAUUGUGAGGCCUUUGCCCAGCAAAUCACAAAUUAGACAGUGACCACCUGGCCUGGUUUCCCAGAGAGUGCACCCCUAUUUGGUGGGCCCUGGCAGUUGUUUGCCAGAGAUUUGAACUGAGGCAAUCUGCCCACCUCAGCCCCUGAUCGUAAACUCUGGAGCCAGCUGAAUUUCAGCUUCGGCUGAAGUGAAAAGUAGCUAUGUGGUUUAAAUUCAUCUUGACUCACAGUUUCACUGUUUUAUCCAGGCUAAAGCUGCUCACUGUGUCUGUGGUUUUCUUACAUAAAUUUUCAAUCCAGCUAGUGCUAUUAUACAGUGUCUUUUCCAGCCCUGGUGUUGGGGGUGGAUUUUUAGCUCGCAUAUUUUUUCCAGAUGUGAUAAGCUCUCCAUAGCCCUC
This is a long non-coding RNA of Acinonyx jubatus (cheetah), 4364 nucleotides long. RefSeq lists it as uncharacterized. The transcript has 6 exons. The record is from RefSeq and is a predicted model, not a curated record. NCBI's taxonomy places the organism in Eukaryota, Metazoa, Chordata, Mammalia, Carnivora, Felidae.